This 317-nucleotide ribosomal RNA is filed under the name uncultured bacterium. Its description in RNAcentral is "bacterial SSU rRNA". It matches the Rfam family "Bacterial small subunit ribosomal RNA", at positions 28 to 334 of the family's 1533-position model. The record is from RNAcentral.
AAAACACUGACGAACGCUGGCGGCGUGCUUAACACAUGCAAGUCGAACGCUGAAACCGGAGCUUGCUUCGGUGGAUGAGUGGCGAACGGGUGAGUAACACGUGAGCAACCUGCCCUUCACUCUGGGAUAAGCGCUGGAAACGGUGUCUAAUACUGGAUACGACCCAUCACCGCAUGGUGUGUGGGUGGAAAGAUUUAUCGGUGGGGGAUGGGCUCGCGGCCUAUCAGCUGGUUGGUGGGGUAAUGGCCUACCAAGGCGACGACGGGUAGCCGGCCUGAGAGGGUGACCGGCCACACUGGGACUGAGACACGGCCCAG